CCAUAAUAUGGAGAGAGCACAGGUGUUGAGGGCUGCUAGCUGCAGCUUGAAGAAAACACCUCUCAUUUUCUUCACCAAAACAAAGAACCAGGAUGAAAUGGCACUAAACAAACUCUUCCCAACAAUUUCCACAGUCCGUAAAGAAGAAAGAGGUCUCUCAUUCCAGUUCUCCAUCAUCCUGGAAUGCCACCCUGACAUUUAUUGGCCAUUUAAGCAGCUGGAUUGACUGGAGAGAUUAGCCAUUAGCAGCCUCUGGAUAUUGCAGCGUCAGCACCAGUAAGG
Solea solea (common sole) is the source of this 282-nucleotide long non-coding RNA. RefSeq lists it as uncharacterized. The transcript is spliced from 3 exons. Lineage: Eukaryota; Metazoa; Chordata; Actinopteri; Pleuronectiformes; Soleidae. The record is from RefSeq and is a predicted model, not a curated record.